Pezoporus flaviventris is the source of this 401-nucleotide long non-coding RNA. RefSeq lists it as uncharacterized. The record is from RefSeq and is a predicted model, not a curated record. Lineage: Eukaryota; Metazoa; Chordata; Aves; Psittaciformes; Psittacidae. The transcript is spliced from 3 exons.
GUGAAGCUGGCUACUUUUGCACAGGAGGUGCCAAAAGUGCUCUUCAGCAAGUGGUGAUGGAAGGGCAUUAUUCCUUACCAGGAGCUUUCAAGCCAGAACCAUGUCCUCUUGGCAGCUUCCAGCCUGCUCGUGCUCAGGCUCUUUGUCGGGACUGUCCAGAGGGUACAUUCUGCAGUGAGGCAGGCCUGGCUGCACCCCAGGAUUGUCCCAAAGGGCAUUUUUGCUUGGCUGGCAGUUCCUUCCCUCUCCCAUGCCCAGUGGGAACCUACACUGAUGUAGCCAGGGCAGGUUCUUGCAAGCCCUGCCCAGCAGGCAUGUACUGCAGCAGGGCUGCUCUGACUGAGCCAGAAGGACAUUGUCAGCCAGGGUAUUACUGCCUUCAAGGUUCCAGCACCUCCACA